UUUCCCAAAUCAGAUAACACAAAAGACAAUAAAAGACUUAAUUACAGAAAAGGAAAAGUUAGUCCUAAAGUGGACUCAUUGAGCCCUAAAAGCAACAACAUAGAAGGUCAGAAGAAUGCAUCUUCAGAAACAAAUUCUUUUCCGGUCAAUAAAAGUUCUGAUGACAACACCUCAAUCACAAACAAGUUGGGGUCAGUGUUAUAAAUACGG
RNAcentral lists this unclassified non-coding RNA (210 nucleotides) under Hevea brasiliensis (rubber tree). The record is from RNAcentral. Lineage: Eukaryota; Viridiplantae; Streptophyta; Magnoliopsida; Malpighiales; Euphorbiaceae.